GUGUCAGCAGCCGCGGUAAUACGGAGGGGGCUAGCGUUGUUCGGAAUUACUGGGCGUAAAGCGCGCGUAGGCGGCUUUGUAAGUUAGAGGUGAAAGCCCGGAGCUUAACUCCGGAACUGCCUUUAAGACUGCAUCGCUAGAAUUGUGGAGAGGUGAGUGGAAUUCCGAGUGUAGAGGUGAAAUUCGUAGAUAUUCGGAAGAACACCAGUGGCGAAGGCGACUCACUGGACACAUAUUGACGCUGAGGUGCGAAAGCGUGGGGAGCAAACAGGAUUAGAAACCCCCGUAGUCC
This 292-nucleotide ribosomal RNA is filed under the name uncultured bacterium. Its description in RNAcentral is "partial 16S ribosomal RNA". It matches the Rfam family "Bacterial small subunit ribosomal RNA", at positions 505 to 796 of the family's 1533-position model. The record is from RNAcentral.